GGUCUGGUAGGGACAGGGCCGCAGGAGUAUCAGGAGCCUCUGGGAUAAUGUUCUCCUGCAUUACAGACUGUGGUGUGAGUGCUGAGCCCAGUUCAACUGGUGGUAAAACAUCAGUGAGUUCCCCAGAGUGUUCCAUGUGAGCCGGGGUUAAAGGCUGCAGCCUGCCAGGGUGCUCCUCUCCCCGGCCUGGCUGGUCAUUAGGAGCACUGUACUUGUCCUGCAAUUAGUCAUUGGAACUUGUUGUAUGAAAAUGGUCAUGCCUCUGCUUAACCUUGAUCUCAGCUGAUGCUCUGUCCCAGGUAAUUACAAGGAGAGCAUGGGGUUCCUGUUUCUUGGACUGGCUUACUGUUCCCAAAGAAGUGUUAAUGCUUUCUGCUGCUGGCUCAGCAAUGGAGCUGUCUGAAUCAAAUAUCUUCUUUUCAUUGUUUUAGGCAAAAAGUGAAGGUCAAGAUGAGUUUGUUGCUGGCUUUGGGAAUCCCCAGUCUGGACUCUGCCAUGCCUUGCAAGCAGAAAGAUGCCACGUGAAUUCUUGGGCUACAGAAGUUCUGUGACAUCAGAUGAUCACCUCCACUGUCUUCCAGCAUUGUGCCAGCAGGAGAGCCCACCCACUUGUGGAAGUGUGGGUGUUUAAGGAGCUUGAAAACAGCAGCCUGGAAGGUGGAGUUCUAAUGCACUUGGAAAUGCUUCCAUUGCCCUUCCUGCUCGUCAGAAAUCCUGCUUGGUUCCACAGUACGGCGGGGAGUAGCUGUUCGCUGAAAAUUAAUAAUCCUGGAAUGAAGUUUGGGGCAGAGUGUCACUCUAGAAAGAGAAGCGGCCUUCUGGGCAGUCUGAAGACUUAGUAUCAAUUUUUGAGUGUAUCAAAUAAAUGGAUCAAAAGUGAAUAAGGCA
RNAcentral lists this long non-coding RNA (888 nucleotides) under Junco hyemalis (dark-eyed junco). Its description in RNAcentral is "lncRNA (ENSJHYG00000016593.1)". Lineage: Eukaryota; Metazoa; Chordata; Aves; Passeriformes; Passerellidae. The record is from RNAcentral.